Non-coding RNA from Gasterosteus aculeatus (three-spined stickleback), 54 nucleotides. The record is from Rfam. Lineage: Eukaryota; Metazoa; Chordata; Actinopteri; Perciformes; Gasterosteidae.
UUAAAAAUGCAAUGUAAGUCGCUUUGGAUAAAAGCGUCAGCUAAAUGACAUGUA